Molecule: long non-coding RNA, 908 nt
Filed under: Homo sapiens (human)
Lineage: Eukaryota; Metazoa; Chordata; Mammalia; Primates; Hominidae
Description: HSALNT0355005
Source: RNAcentral
CAGCCGGGUGCAGCCGGUGGAGCUGGCCGCCUCCUCUAACUUUGAGCCCCUCUACAACCUGGCUCCCGCCUCUAACGCGCUGGGCCUCCUCGACCAAGCCCCUCAAGUCUCUCUUUGUCUCGCACGUUGUUGGUGUAAUGUGGGCUAAUCCAAAAUUGUCUCUCUCCUCGGAGUGGUUGGCCCAGACUAGAUAUUAGUCACUACAAGAAUGUAUACUAGGCCAGGUGCGGUGGCUCACGCCUGUAAUCCCAGCAGUUUGGGAGGCAGAGGUGGACGGAUCACGAGGUCAGGAGUUCGAGACCAGCCUGGCCAACAUGGUGAAACCCCCGUCUCUACUAAAAAUACAAAAAUUAGCCGGUCGUGGUGGCGGGCGCCUGUAAUCCCAGCUACUCAGGAGGCUGAGGUGGGAGAAUCACUUGUACCCAGUAGGCGGAGGUUGCAGUGAGCCGAGAUCCUGCCACUGCCCUCCAACCUGGGUGACAGAGCGAGACUCCAUCUCAAAAAAAAAAAAAAAAAAAAAAAAAGAACGUAUACUUGUGGAAAAGUAAAUCCUCACCCAAAAUUAUGAUAAAUUACAAAUUACAGAUGAAUGAACCAGACCUCUCUCCGGCCCAUCUCUUACUCAGACUGAGCUUGCUGGUUCAGCCCGUGCCACUUUUUAGGGCUUUACCCUAAAAAGCCCAUCCAUCCACACGGGAGAAAAGCCAUUUACACCUGGUGAAAUAGCCGCCACUAUUUCAGCCCAAGGGAGGUGUGCUGGUCACUGCCUAGUCUAUGGCGGGCCAUUCAGCCCGUCCUGGCAUCCUGCGUUUACAGGAGGUUGUGUCAGCACUUCGUGGAGGAGCGUCCUCCAGGAGGUGGGAAGGUGAUGAAGGGUCAAAUACCGACAGUGACUUGGAACAGACAGG